GGCGGUGAGCGGAUUCUGAAAUUGUGCCCUUCAAAUCCGGAGUGGGGGGCUAGUACCCUCCCAGGUGGGUUCGAUUCCCAUGCACUUCCGCCA
Molecule: transfer RNA, 93 nt
Filed under: Deltaproteobacteria bacterium
Lineage: Bacteria; Pseudomonadati; Myxococcota; Myxococcia
Also listed under: 1 other name
Description: tRNA-Sec
Source: RNAcentral